UAUUGAAAAUAAAACUGAUGGGUUGCUGCUGGCUUUUCUAAGGAGCAUGUGCACACUUGUCAUCUUUAUAUCUCCACCUGUGCACCUAUUGUAGACCUGGACAACUUUCUUAAUGUGCUAGCAUUCAGGUAUGAGGAUUGACUCUUCUGGCUAUCCUUGCAUCUUCAGGUCUAUGUUCUUUCAUAUAAUCUCAAAUGUUAUGGAAUGUAAAUGCUUAAGGGCUUCUGUGCCCUAUAAACCUUAUACAACUUUCAGCAACGGAUCUCUUGGCUCUCGCAUCGAUGAAGAACGCAGCGAAAUGCGAUAAGUAAUGUGAAUUGCAGAAUUCAGUGAAUCAUCGAAUCUUUGAACGCACCUUGCACUCCUUGGUAUUCCGAGGAGUAUGCCUGUUUGAGUGUCAUUAAUAUAUCAACCUCUUCAAGUUUUUUUGCUUGCAGAGUGUAUGGAUGUGGGGGGAUUAUUUUGCUGGGCUUUCUUUAAGAGGUCAGCUCCCCUGAAAUGCAUUGGCAGAACAAUUUGCUGACCGUCCAUUGGUGUGAUAGCUAUCUACGCUAUUGACGUGAAGCAGUUCAGCUUAUAGCAGUCCAUUGACUUGGACAAUCUUUAUCAAUGUG
RNAcentral lists this unclassified non-coding RNA (614 nucleotides) under Cortinarius sp. 1 CG-2012. Its description in RNAcentral is "sequence contains ITS1, 5.8S rRNA gene, ITS2". The stretch from base 247 to 400 matches the Rfam family "5.8S ribosomal RNA". The record is from RNAcentral. Lineage: Eukaryota; Fungi; Basidiomycota; Agaricomycetes; Agaricales; Cortinariaceae.